RNAcentral lists this ribosomal RNA (254 nucleotides) under uncultured bacterium. Its description in RNAcentral is "partial 16S ribosomal RNA". It matches the Rfam family "Bacterial small subunit ribosomal RNA", at positions 524 to 776 of the family's 1533-position model. The record is from RNAcentral.
UACGAAGGGGGCUAGCGUUGCUCGGAAUCACUGGGCGUAAAGGGUGCGUAGGCGGGUCUUUAAGUCAGGGGUGAAAUCCUGGAGCUCAACUCCAGAACUGCCUUUGAUACUGAAGAUCUUGAGUUCGGGAGAGGUGAGUGGAACUGCGAGUGUAGAGGUGAAAUUCGUAGAUAUUCGCAAGAACACCAGUGGCGAAGGCGGCUCACUGGCCCGAUACUGACGCUGAGGCACGGAAAGCGUGGGGAGCAAACAGG